RNAcentral lists this ribosomal RNA (253 nucleotides) under uncultured bacterium. RNAcentral's name for it is "partial 16S ribosomal RNA". It matches the Rfam family "Bacterial small subunit ribosomal RNA", at positions 524 to 776 of the family's 1533-position model. The record is from RNAcentral.
GACAGAGGGUGCAAACGUUGCUCGGAAUCACUGGGCGUAAAGGGCGCGUAGGCGGGAAGGAAAGUCAGAUGUGAAAUCCCUGGGCUCAACCCAGGAACUGCAUUUGAAACUCCCUUUCUUGAGUGUCGGAGAGGAAAGCGGAAUUCCUGGUGUAGAGGUGAAAUUCGUAGAUAUCAGGAGGAACACCGGUGGCGAAGGCGGCUUUCUGGACGACAACUGACGCUGAGACGCGAAAGCGUGGGGAGCAAACAGG